AUUGAACGCUGGCGGCAUGCCUUACACAUGCAAGUCGAACGGUAACGGGCCUUCGGGUGCCGACGAGUGGCGAACGGGUGAGUAAUGUAUCGGAACGUACCUUUCAGUGGGGGAUAACGUAGCGAAAGUUACGCUAAUACCGCAUAUUCUGUGAGCAGGAAAGCAGGGGAUCGCAAGACCUUGCGCUGAUUGAGCGGCCGAUAUCAGAUUAGCUAGUUGGUGAGGUAAAGGCUCACCAAGGCGACGAUCUGUAGCGGGUCUGAGAGGAUGAUCCGCCACACUGGAACUGAGACACGGUCCAGACUCCUACGGGAGGCAGCAGUGGGGAAUUUUGGACAAUGGGGGCAACCCUGAUCCAGCCAUGCCGCGUGAGUGAAGAAGGCCUCGGUU
This 390-nucleotide ribosomal RNA is filed under the name uncultured bacterium. RNAcentral describes it as "bacterial SSU rRNA". It matches the Rfam family "Bacterial small subunit ribosomal RNA", at positions 30 to 424 of the family's 1533-position model. The record is from RNAcentral.